Molecule: ribosomal RNA, 497 nt
Filed under: uncultured bacterium
Lineage: Bacteria
Description: partial 16S ribosomal RNA
Rfam family: Bacterial small subunit ribosomal RNA
Source: RNAcentral
GAUGAACGCUGGCGGUGUGCCUAAUACAUGCAAGUCGAGCGAACAGACGAGGAGCUUACUCCUCUGACGUUAGCGGCGGACGGGUGAGUAACACGUGGAUAACCUACCUAUAAGACUGGGAUAACUUCGGGAAACCGGAGCUAAUACCGGAUAACAUGUUGAACCGCAUGGUUCAACAGUGAAAGACGGUCUUGCUGUCACUUAUAGAUGGAUCCGCGUCGCAUUAGCUAGUUGGUAAGGUAACGGCUUACCAAGGCAACGAUGCGUAGCCGACCUGAGAGGGUGAUCGGCCACACUGGAACUGAGACACGGUCCAGACUCCUACGGGAGGCAGCAGUAGGGAAUCUUCCGCAAUGGGCGAAAGCCUGACGGAGCAAUGCCGCGUGAGUGAAGAAGGUCUUCGGAUCGUAAAACUCUGUUAUUAGGGAAGAACAAAUGUGUAAGUAACUAUGCACGUCUUGACGGUACCUAAUCAGAAAGCCACGGCUAACUACGUG